Molecule: ribosomal RNA, 253 nt
Filed under: uncultured bacterium
Lineage: Bacteria
Description: partial 16S ribosomal RNA
Rfam family: Bacterial small subunit ribosomal RNA
Source: RNAcentral
UACGGAGGGUCCGAGCGUUAUCCGGAAUUAUUGGGUUUAAAGGGUCCGUAGGCGGGCCGUUAAGUCAGGGGUGAAAGUCUGCAGCUCAACUGUAGAAAUGCCUUUGAUACUGGCGGUCUUGAGUUAUGGUGAAGUUGCCGGAAUAUGUAGUGUAGCGGUGAAAUGCAUAGAUAUUACAUAGAACACCGAUUGCGAAGGCAGGUGGCUAACCAUAUACUGACGCUGAUGGACGAAAGCGUGGGGAGCGAACAGG